UUAAAUGUUCUUCGUGAACAUAGCGAACUGCUCAGUAACACGUGGAUAACCUACCCUUAGGACCGGAAUAACCCCGGGAAACUGGGGAUAAUACCGGAUAAGCCAUAGACGCUGGAAUGCACUAUGGUUCAAAGCUCCGGCGCCUAAGGAUGGAUCUGCGGUCUAUCAGGUUGUAGUGGGUGUAACGUACCUACUAGCCGACGACGGAUACGGGUUGUGAGAGCAAGAGCCCGGAGAUGGAUUCUGAGACACGAAUCCAGGCCCUACGGGGUGCAGCAGGCGCGAAUUCUUUACAAUGCAGGCAACUGCGAUAAGGGGACACCGAGUGCCAGUGAAUUUCAUUGGCUGUCUUAAUGUUUAAAACGCAUUCAAUAGCAAGGGCUGGGCAAGACCGGUGCCAGCCGCCGCGGUAAUACCGGCAGCCCGAGUGGUAACCACUAUUAUUGGGUCUAAAGGGUCCGUAGCCGGGCCAAUCAGUCUUCUGGGAAAUCUGGCAGCUCAACUGUCAGGCGACUAGGGGAUACUGUUGGCCUUGGGACCGGAAGAGGUAAGAGGUACUUUAGGGGUAGGAGUGAAAUCUUGUAAUCCUUAAGGGACCACCAGUGGCGAAGGCGUCUUACCAGAACGGGUCCGACGGUGAGGGACGAAAGCUAGGGGCGCAAACCGGAUUAGAUACCCGGGUAGUCCUAGCCGUAAACGAUGUUCGCUAUGUGUCAGGGACGGCGUGACCGUUCCUGGUGCCGAAGGGAAGCUGUGAAGCGAACCACCUGGGAAGUACGGCCGCAAGGCUGAAACUUAAAGGAAUUGGCGGGGGAGCACUACAACGGGAGGAGCCUGCGG
Molecule: ribosomal RNA, 840 nt
Filed under: uncultured archaeon
Lineage: Archaea
Description: bacterial SSU rRNA
Rfam family: Archaeal small subunit ribosomal RNA
Source: RNAcentral